Molecule: ribosomal RNA, 362 nt
Filed under: Anabrus simplex (Mormon cricket)
Lineage: Eukaryota; Metazoa; Arthropoda; Insecta; Orthoptera; Tettigoniidae
Description: partial large subunit ribosomal RNA
Source: RNAcentral
AAGUAUUAAUUUAAAAUUUGAUGAAUAGGGAGUUUUGAUUUAAUUGAAAUAACAUUAAUUAUGUAUGUUUUAGUAUAGUAAUAGAACAAAUUUAUUUAUUUAUAGUGGAGUAGUACUGUGAAGGGAAAUUGAAAAAAGUUGAAAAUAAAUUUUUAGAAAAGUAAAUUAAUAUUGUACCUUGUGUAUCAGGGUUUAUUAAAAUUGGAAUAGAGAUUUAUUUUUCCCGAAUUAAAAAGAGCUAAUUUGUUAUGUUGGUUAAUGUGGUACUAUUAUCAAGAAUAGCAAGUUUGUAAUGAAAUAUUAGUCGGUUUUUAAGAUAUCUGGUUCUUCAUGUUAUGAAUUUAAUUCAGUAUUUAAUAGUA